This is a microRNA precursor of Gallus gallus (chicken), 93 nucleotides long. Lineage: Eukaryota; Metazoa; Chordata; Aves; Galliformes; Phasianidae. The record is from Ensembl.
GGAUGGCUGUGUUUGCUUUGAAGCUCUGCUGUCGGUGGGUUUGUUCUGCAGGUCCCCAAGGGCAGCCGGGCUCCGUGUGCUGCUCAGCUGACC